CCCUGCUAUUGCGUCAUCUUGAGAACCCUUCCCUUCUCCCUCUCUCUUUGCUUUCUUCAUACUUGUCUUGUUGCUACCUAUCUCACCUCUUUCCACUUCUACAACCUCAUAUGCCUUAACUUCUACCAUCUCUGCUAGUGAACAAGCAGAGGCUCUGUUGAACUGGAAAGCCAGCCUCCUCCAUAACCAAGCCACUCACUCUGAUCAUAUUUUGCCUUCUUGGACACUCACCAAUUUUUCUUCUUCUUCCCAUUCCCACCUAGCAGCUGGAGUUAAUUGGGUUGGCAUUGUUUGCAAUCAGCUCGGCAGUGUCUCCCAUGUACAACUAUGGAAUAUGAGUUUGCAAGAGUUUGCCUAUACAAUGAGGGUCACAAAAAAGUGUGAUGUAUAUAGCUUCGGUGUGAUAACAAUAGAAACAUUAUUGGGAACCCACCCUAUUGAGCUCCUUUCAUCUUUGUCACUAUCAUUAUUGUCAUCGUUGGCAUCAUCAUCAACUUUGCUGACCAUGAUGUUGAAAGAAGUUUUAGACCAAUGGCUUCCUCCUCCACUGCCGAAGUAUAUGGAGCGAUUGUUUCUAUUGUAAAAAUUGCAUUUACAUGCUUGAAUGUUGAUCCCCAAUCUCUACCAACAAUGAAACAUGUGUCUCAGGAGCUAUCAUCUCAGAAGCCAUUUUCUCUCUAGUCAUUUCACACAAUCACAUUAGGAGAAUUAUUGCAUGGAGGAAGAGUACUUGGGUAGCUAUCAGGAAGCAAAUCCAAUUGUUGAUUUCCUUGUUAAAUCAGCAACCAGAUUGGAAACUUCAGGCCCUUUGACUUCUUGACCAGCAUCCAUCCAAGGGGACAUUAUGGUUGAUUCUCAAUGAAGACCUAGGUUCCAGGUGUAUUAACUCUUUUUUGAGUUGAUUUUUUUUCAGCCUGUGUUCUCUAGUCGGUUCCCUGUUGAUGGCCAUGCUGAAGGUGGGGAUCUGUCUAGUUGAUUUUCUUCUGUGUUUCUAGGUUUUCCCAGCUUCUUUGAAUAUUUUAUUUUCUCUUUUUAAUAUAUAUAUAUAUAUAAAAGAAGAGUACUACGGCA
Macadamia integrifolia is the source of this 1071-nucleotide long non-coding RNA. RefSeq lists it as uncharacterized. The transcript is spliced from 2 exons. Lineage: Eukaryota; Viridiplantae; Streptophyta; Magnoliopsida; Proteales; Proteaceae. The record is from RefSeq and is a predicted model, not a curated record.